This 425-nucleotide ribosomal RNA is filed under the name uncultured bacterium. RNAcentral describes it as "partial 16S ribosomal RNA". It matches the Rfam family "Bacterial small subunit ribosomal RNA", at positions 354 to 796 of the family's 1533-position model. The record is from RNAcentral.
GUAAGGAAUAUUGGGCAAUGGAGGCAACUCUGACCCAGCAACGCCGCGUGAAGGAAGAAGGUCUUCGGAUCGUAAACUUCUAUCCUUGGUGAAGAUAAUGACGGUAGCCGAGAAGGAAGCCCCGGCUAACUACGUGCCAGCAGCCGCGGUAAUACGUAGGGGGCAAGCGUUGUCCGGAAUGAUUGGGCGUAAAGGGCGCGUAGGCGGCCUGGUAAGUCUGGAGUGAAAGUCCUGCUUUUAAGGUGGGAAUUGCUUUGGAUACUGUCGGGCUUGAGUGCAGGAGAGGUAAGUGGAAUUCCCGGUGUAGCGGUGAAAUGCGUAGAGAUCGGGAGGAACACCAGUGGCGAAGGCGACUUACUGGACUGUAACUGACGCUGAGGCGCGAAAGUGUGGGGAGCAAACAGGAUUAGAAACCCGUGUAGUCC